Molecule: long non-coding RNA, 514 nt
Filed under: Amborella trichopoda
Lineage: Eukaryota; Viridiplantae; Streptophyta; Magnoliopsida; Amborellales; Amborellaceae
Description: long non-coding RNA (ATRI_LNC000518)
Source: RNAcentral
CAUGACCAUUCUUUUUAAAUGCAUCUGACCAACCAUCAAGAUCUGUUUUAAAUCAAGAGGUCCAAAAGAAAUGACUCAAUCACUCAUAUUGGAUCUCCAUAUAAGUAUGAGGUGUCAUAUCCAAAAUCCCUUUACAAUAACGUUUAGAAAGGAAGCCUCUGCGGCAUUUUGUAAUGGUCCUUAAUAAGCAGAGAACAGUAAACAAAAAGAGCAGCGCAAGAAUCAAGAACAAGAACACUUUUAAACAACAUUCUCUCAGCAAUUUCACUCCUCUUAACAGCUCCAAAAGCAAACACCUACUUAAGAUAUGUAGAAGAAACCCAUAGGAACACAUAGCUGAUCAGAGAGGUGCCAACUUCUAAGCUUCUUGGACCCCGAAGCAAAGGUGGAACCACAGAUACCAUCAGGAAGGUACCCAACAGCCAUGAACCAAAGAAAACCGCCAAUCUGCAAAGCCCAACAGCCAGAUGAUCUUAAUAUCUAUACCCAUAAUAAACACAGGUAACAGAUUCAA